GGGCCCGCACAAGCGGUGGAGCAUGUGGCUUAAUUCGAGGCAACGCGAAGAACCUUACCUGGUCUUGACAUGCCCGUCAUAGUUUUCCGAAAGGAAUUCGUCAGUUCGGCUGGACGGUGCACAGGUGCUGCAUGGCUGUCGUCAGCUCGUGUCGUGAGAUGUUCGGUUAAGUCCGGCAACGAGCGCAACCCUCGUUUCCAGUUGCCAGCGGGUAAUGCCGGGGACUCUGGAAAGACAAACCUCUUGUUGAGGUGGGAAGGUGGGGACGACGUCAAGUCAGUAUGGCCCUUACGACCAGGGCUGCACACGUGCUACAAUGCCCGGUACAAUGGGAUGCAAAAUCGCGAGAUUGAGCCAAUCCAUAAAGCCGGGCCUUGUACACACCGCCCGUCAAGUCACGAAAGUCGAUAACACCCGAAGCCGGUG
Molecule: ribosomal RNA, 426 nt
Filed under: uncultured bacterium
Lineage: Bacteria
Description: bacterial SSU rRNA
Rfam family: Bacterial small subunit ribosomal RNA
Source: RNAcentral